CUAAUAUUUAGACAUUAUUUAUGACUAAAAUCUCUAGUGUCCGAACAAGAACAAACAAAAAAGUCUGUAUCAUAUUUUUCGUCUAGUGACGUGAACCAGUAUUUACCUAUUGUAUUCCAUUUAUGUGUUUACAAUACUGUACAUACUUUUCAUCUGUCUUGAUUUGAUAAAGUUCCUUAAGUUUAUCAUUCGUAUCCCCCUUUUUCUUUCGGUAAACAGCACACUGUUCUUGCGACUUGGUUUGUUUUCCCAUCCCAUAUAAAGGAC
RNAcentral lists this long non-coding RNA (267 nucleotides) under Mytilus galloprovincialis (Mediterranean mussel). The record is from RNAcentral. Lineage: Eukaryota; Metazoa; Mollusca; Bivalvia; Mytilida; Mytilidae.